RNAcentral lists this ribosomal RNA (276 nucleotides) under uncultured Actinomycetales bacterium. RNAcentral's name for it is "partial 16S ribosomal RNA". It matches the Rfam family "Bacterial small subunit ribosomal RNA", at positions 528 to 802 of the family's 1533-position model. The record is from RNAcentral. Lineage: Bacteria; Bacillati; Actinomycetota; Actinomycetes; Actinomycetales.
UANGGUGCGAGCGUUGUCCGGAAUUACUGGGCGUAAAGGGCUCGUAGGUGGUUUGUCGCGUCGUCUGUGAAAUUCCGGGGCUUAACUCCGGGCGUGCAGGCGAUACGGGCAUAACUUGAGUACUGUAGGGGUAACUGGAAUUCCUGGUGUAGCGGUGAAAUGCGCAGAUAUCAGGAGGAACACCGAUGGCGAAGGCAGGUUACUGGGCAGUUACUGACGCUGAGGAGCGAAAGCAUGGGUAGCGAACAGGAUUAGAUACCCUGGUAGUCAAGGGCG